AAUGGGCGAAAGCCUGACGGAGCAACGCCGCGUGAGUGAUGAAGGUCUUCGGAUCGUAAAGCUCUGUUGCAGGGGAAAAAGAAAGUGAUUGUACCCUGCGAGGAAGGGACGGCCAACUUCGUGCCAGCAGCCGCGGUAAUACGAAGGUCCCUAGCGUUGUUCGGAAUUAUUGGGCGUAAAGCGCAUGUAGGUGGCUUUAUAAGUCAGGUGUGAAAGCCCCGGGCUCAACCUGGGAAGUGCACUUGAAACUGCAAAGCUUGAGUACGGAAGAGGUGAGUGGAAUUCCUGGUGUAGUGGUGAAAUACGUAGAUAUCAGGAGGAACAUCGGCGGCGAAGGCGGCUCACUGGUCCAGUACUGACACUCAGAUGCGAAAGCGUGGGGAUCAAA
RNAcentral lists this ribosomal RNA (388 nucleotides) under uncultured bacterium. RNAcentral describes it as "bacterial SSU rRNA". It matches the Rfam family "Bacterial small subunit ribosomal RNA", at positions 370 to 772 of the family's 1533-position model. The record is from RNAcentral.